CCCUUGUACUUCAAUCGUCAUGCAGACAAAAUACUUUCAUCAUGUCCUGUGCACCAUCUUAAACAAAGAUAUGUAUACUUUAUUUGUGUUCUCACUCCUUGUAUUCAUUAUAUAUUUCUAGGUUAGUCGCCCUACUUUAAUCCCUCUAUUCUUUUGUUUCAAAGAAUUCUCGUUCAAUUAAAUUAUGUAAUAUUUGUUAAAAUUAAAAUAUUUGAU
This 216-nucleotide long non-coding RNA is filed under the name Gossypium barbadense (sea-island cotton). Its description in RNAcentral is "long non-coding RNA (GBAR_LNC005113)". The record is from RNAcentral. Lineage: Eukaryota; Viridiplantae; Streptophyta; Magnoliopsida; Malvales; Malvaceae.